RNAcentral lists this transfer RNA (72 nucleotides) under Schistosoma japonicum. RNAcentral's name for it is "tRNA-OTHER". The record is from RNAcentral. Lineage: Eukaryota; Metazoa; Platyhelminthes; Trematoda; Strigeidida; Schistosomatidae.
GACUCAGUGGUUCAAUGGUUAAGCGUUAGCCGCGGAGCUAAAGGGUCCUGGGUUUGACCCCCAGUGAUGUCA